UUCGUCCAGCAAAGCCAGGAGGUGUAGAAAACAGACAAUGAAACCAGCUGGGGAAUAGUUUCUCCCCAAUCCCCCUUUUGCACCUUUCUCCGAAGCCCAGUCGAAAAAUUGCCACCUGCUUCCCUCCCUCCCAUCCCGGCACCUCGGUCGUAUGGCAAACUGGCCAUAAAAUUUUUUACUACCCUAGUUCUUCAUUCAGGAAAUAACAGGUUCAUAAACAGUCCAGACAGUAUGGAGCUCCAAUUGCAAGCAAGCCAUCUCUCUCUCUCUCUUUCUCUCUCCCUCCGUCUCCUAUCCCUCUUGCAACAACUUUACUGGGCGUUUCUGAGGAGCCAGCAGGCCCAUGAUUCACCCACUCUCAUUUUUUUUCCCCAUCUGCAAUUUCUGAGGGGAGCUACUGUUUGUGAGGGGCGGGUUGAAAGGACCCCCAGUUUAAAGAUAGGCACAUAGGCCGGGUGCUCCUGGCAGUAGGGAAGCAAUUCCUGCUAAGUUUUUCUUUCUCUUUUGCUGGAAUCUCUGCUCUUAGGUGACCAUUGGGAAAUAUAGAGUUCAUUCUAGGCUACAGUGUUAUCAGGAAUCCACACAACGUGUGGAUGUAAAAUCUCAGAUCUGGGGAAAGCUUAUGAAUGCUGUGGAGUGACCACUUUGAGGCCUCUGGAUGAAAUGAAUCCCCUGCUUCUUUUCUGGAACCACGAAACCUCUGGCACUGUAGCUGCUGAAAUUCACAGUGUUUCCACUUGAGUUGAGCAUGCCAUUCCCAGAUUGGUUCUGCAUCCCUGGGAUACCAGCCUUUUCUUGGAAGUUCAACAUGCACAUAUAAUAAAACAUGGAGGAUUGAGUAAGAGAGAAAUAAUGCCAAAUGCUUGACACUGAGUUGCCUGUAGGACAGCAUCUCUUCCUUGGUUUAAACCUCUGAAGCAUUGCCUUGAAUUGCCUGAUAACAAUUGCUUUCAGUGGGAUGCCUGCUUGGAGACACAUUAUGAAGCAAAGGAAGAUUGGUGAAAAUGCUUUAGCAGGAGGAAGGAGUCCCUUUUCCUCUCCCCAUUGAAAUGACAUGCAUGGCACAUGGGAUUAACAGCCUUUGUGGGAAAAGCUAAAAAGCCUCUUUAAAUUUGGCAUAGGAGUGUGCUGCCUAUAAUGUCACACUUAAUGACUUCUCCUAAUGUUUGAUACCAAAUAAAAUAACCUGGUUUCCUCUAAA
Molecule: long non-coding RNA, 1201 nt
Organism: Pantherophis guttatus
Lineage: Eukaryota; Metazoa; Chordata; Lepidosauria; Squamata; Colubridae
Source: RefSeq, a predicted model, not a curated record